Long non-coding RNA from Chloebia gouldiae (Gouldian finch), 1592 nucleotides. Lineage: Eukaryota; Metazoa; Chordata; Aves; Passeriformes; Passeridae. The record is from Ensembl.
AUGAGUCCCUCUCUCUCUCUCCUUCCCACAGGCAGACUUGUAGACGCCACUCUAGCUUUUUUAGCGUUAAGAGUAGGAAGCAGUCACUACAAAGGCAUGUCUACAUUGCAGGCAGAGCUGGGAUUGCACCACAUGAAGACACACUUGGGUUACCUAUUCUGCCAGCGCCGGGACACCGCGUGCUUAGCAGUGCCCUCACCCUGCGCUAAGCUGCAGCCUCCCACAACUCCAUUGCCCUUCCCAGCUGGGUUCCCACAUGUGUAUUUCCACAGAUGCACAUCCAGCAGACCUCCCGCUGAAUUGUAUCCUCAGUCCCUUGGACCAUCUGGAGAGACACCUCACCCCUGCUCAAAUCCAUCCUGUGCGCUGGAUUCUGCAAGCUCUAUUGGAGACUUACUUACUCUGCCCUCCAAUUUACAGCUUUUCCCUAACAGGGCAGCCAAAUAUUUUGCUGUAAAUUAAAUCCUCACCUCCUUGUCUGUCUGUUGUGGACAUGGUGAACAGUUAGCUCUGUAUACAGGAAAGCUUCUGGCACAUUGUUCUCAUCUUCUCUUUCUAGACUAAACAGUACCAAUCCUCUUGACCUUUCUUCAUGCAUUGUGUUUUCCAUACUACUUAUUAUUCCUCUUGUCCUCUGAACUCUCUCCAGUUUGUUUCUAUAUAUCUAUAAUUUUAUAGUGUGGUGCCCAGAAGAGGACAAAGUACUCACUCCCCAGCACCAGCAGAGUAAAACAGAACAUAAGGCAAUCUUACUAGGAUGUUCUGCAGUGAGAUUCAUCUUUCCUCAGCCAUAUAAUGCAGCUUACUCCUACUUGGCAUAGGGGUUGUAUAGUCCUCAGGUUUCUUUAUUGUCCUGCAUAGCACCUAAAGUUCUCCCAUAUUGUAUUCAUGCAGUUGAUAUCUGUGGCAAACUACACUUGUUAUUUUUUCUGAAUUUGUGCCACUCGUAUCAGAUUGUUUCUCCAGGCUCUAACAGAGUCCCCUGAAGUGCUGGCACUUCCCAUCUGCUGGUGUAACUUGAAGAUUCACUGCUUCAUAUUUCAAGCCAUUCAUGAAAAUAAGUAUUAGAACUAGACUAACAAGCGACAUCUGUCCACAUAUAUACUAUGAUGAACUCAUCUACAGUGCAUUUUUCCAGUUUCUUUUUCAGAAAAGUGUUUAAGACUGUGUGGAAAACUUUCUUAAAAUCAAGAUCUAACAAGUCUACUCCUCAUCCUUAUCUCCUUGGCCAAUUAAUCUGUCAAAGAAAAAUGAGAUAGAUUUGUUUCUGAUAAAUCAAUACAACACUUUUUUAUCACUGUAAAAAUGUUCAAAGUGUCCACAAAGUGAUUAUACACUGUAGUAUUGUAGGAUUUAUUUGGUAACAGCAGUAUCUUUCUAGGCAUUUUUAAUUUAUUAGGCUCCCAUUUUUAUGGAUGGGAAUUAUAGUAUAUAUUCUCUCACCCAGUGUCUUCCAUAGUAUUCCAUAUUUUGUUUAAAAUAAUCAUUGCUGGUUCAGUGAUUGGUUUUGUAGUUGAUUAAAUAUUCCAAGGUGCAUAUGCCUGUCUGUUCUUGUUAAUAAAAUGUUUGUGUUCAGUGAUUAUCUGGUUUCA